AUGAGUCACCGUCGAAGUUUGGCCUGGCAGUUUUGUGAUUACUCCUCCGAAGAUGAGGAACUCAUGAUGGCUGCAAUUGUAGUAGAGGAAGAAGAAGCCCGGUUGGAUGCUCCACGACAUGGAGGUUCACAACCGAGACAUCAAUCUCUUCAGCGCGAUUUUGCGGAACACUUUCAAAACCUCCACAAGGACUAUUUUGCAGAGAACCCCACCUUCAAGGCAAUGAUGUUUCGCAAGAGGUAUGAAAUUGGUGCAUCUGUUUCGUUUUCACCAUAG
Molecule: ribosomal RNA, 276 nt
Filed under: Triticum aestivum (bread wheat)
Lineage: Eukaryota; Viridiplantae; Streptophyta; Magnoliopsida; Poales; Poaceae
Description: partial small subunit ribosomal RNA
Source: RNAcentral